CUUCCAGUAGCACCCUAGAGACCAACUAAGUUUGUUAUCGGUAUGAGCUUUCGUGUGCAUGCACACUUCUUCAGAUACCAGAAGUGUGAAUGGACACGAAAACUCAUACCAAUAACAAACUUAGUUGGUCUCUAAGGUGCUACUGGAAG
Podarcis lilfordi (Lilford's wall lizard) is the source of this 149-nucleotide non-coding RNA. The record is from the annotation of a GenBank genome assembly. NCBI's taxonomy places the organism in Eukaryota, Metazoa, Chordata, Lepidosauria, Squamata, Lacertidae.